UGGCUCAACAGUUGAGAGCACUGGCCGUUCUUCCAGAGGUCCUGGGUUCAAUUCCCAG
Molecule: transfer RNA, 58 nt
Filed under: Cricetulus griseus (Chinese hamster)
Lineage: Eukaryota; Metazoa; Chordata; Mammalia; Rodentia; Cricetidae
Source: Rfam by way of RNAcentral